RNAcentral lists this long non-coding RNA (200 nucleotides) under Phaseolus vulgaris (common bean). RNAcentral describes it as "long non-coding RNA (PVUL_LNC000662)". The record is from RNAcentral. Lineage: Eukaryota; Viridiplantae; Streptophyta; Magnoliopsida; Fabales; Fabaceae.
UCCUCCAUCCCCCAAACCCCCUUCAAGUCUCUCCACCAACUGGAAUCCUUAGCAUUACUCCUUUGUUCUUGCAAAUUUCUCCAGCCUCCGUAUUUAGAUUCAAGAAUUUCUUUCCACAGACCAUCCUUCUCAGUCUCCAGACGCCAAAUCCACUUUCCCAGCAGUGCCGCAUUGAAAAGUCUUAAAUUCAAAAUUCCAAG